GACGAACGCUGGCGGCGUGCUUAACACAUGCAAGUCGAACGGAAAGGCCCUGCUUUUGUGGGGUGCUCGAGUGGCGAACGGGUGAGUAACACGUGAGUAACCUGCCCUUGACUUUGGGAUAACUUCAGGAAACUGGGGCUAAUACCGGAUAGGAGCUCCUGCUGCAUGGUGGGGGUUGGAAAGUUUCGGCGGUUGGGGAUGGACUCGCGGCUUAUCAGCUUGUUGGUGGGGUAGUGGCUUACCAAGGCUUUGACGGGUAGCCGGCCUGAGAGGGUGACCGGCCACAGUGGGACUGAGAUACGGCCCAGACUCCUAAGGGAGGCAGCAGUGGGGAAUAUUGCAAAAUGGGCGGAAGCCUGAUGCAGCAACGCCGCGGGCGGGAUGACGGCCUUCGGGUUGUAAACCGCUUUCGCCUGUGACGAAGCGUGAGUGACGGUAAUGGGUAAAGAAGCACCGGAUAACUACGUG
Molecule: ribosomal RNA, 468 nt
Filed under: uncultured bacterium
Lineage: Bacteria
Description: partial 16S ribosomal RNA
Rfam family: Bacterial small subunit ribosomal RNA
Source: RNAcentral